CUGAAACUUUUUAGUCCCUGUGUAAUAAG
Molecule: unclassified non-coding RNA, 29 nt
Filed under: Hydra vulgaris (swiftwater hydra)
Lineage: Eukaryota; Metazoa; Cnidaria; Hydrozoa; Anthoathecata; Hydridae
Description: trans-spliced leader sequence SL-B
Source: RNAcentral